RNAcentral lists this ribosomal RNA (768 nucleotides) under Staphylococcus hominis. RNAcentral's name for it is "bacterial SSU rRNA". It matches the Rfam family "Bacterial small subunit ribosomal RNA", at positions 74 to 826 of the family's 1533-position model. The record is from RNAcentral. Lineage: Bacteria; Bacillati; Bacillota; Bacilli; Caryophanales; Staphylococcaceae.
AGGAGCUUGCUCCUUUGACGUUAGCGGCGGACGGGUGAGUAACACGUAGGUAACCUACCUAUAAGACUGGGAUAACUUCGGGAAACCGGAGCUAAUACCGGAUAAUAUUUCGAACCGCAUGGUUCGAUAGUGAUAGAUGGCUUUGCUAUCACUUAUAGAUGGACCUGCGCCGUAUUAGCUAGUUGGUAAGGUAACGGCUUACCAAGGCAACGAUACGUAGCCGACCUGAGAGGGUGAUCGGCCACACUGGAACUGAGACACGGUCCAGACUCCUACGGGAGGCAGCAGUAGGGAAUCUUCCGCAAUGGGCGAAAGCCUGACGGAGCAACGCCGCGUGAGUGAUGAAGGUCUUCGGAUCGUAAAACUCUGUUAUUAGGGAAGAACAAACGUGUAAGUAACUGUGCACGUCUUGACGGUACCUAAUCAGAAAGCCACGGCUAACUACGUGCCAGCAGCCGCGGUAAUACGUAGGUGGCAAGCGUUAUCCGGAAUUAUUGGGCGUAAAGCGCGCGUAGGCGGUUUUUUAAGUCUGAUGUGAAAGCCCACGGCUCAACCGUGGAGGGUCAUUGGAAACUGGAAAACUUGAGUGCAGAAGAGGAAAGUGGAAUUCCAUGUGUAGCGGUGAAAUGCGCAGAGAUAUGGAGGAACACCAGUGGCGAAGGCGACUUUCUGGUCUGUAACUGACGCUGAUGUGCGAAAGCGUGGGGAUCAAACAGGAUUAGAUACCCCUGGUAGUCCACGCCGUAUACGAUNUUUGUUAAGUGUUAU